UAGGGAAUCUUCGGCAAUGGACGAAAGUCUGACCGAGCAACGCCGCGUGAGUGAAGAAGGUUUUCGGAUCGUAAAACUCUGUUGUUAGAGAAGAACAAGGACGUUAGUAACUGAACGUCCCCUGACGGUAUCUAACCAGAAAGCCACGGCUAACUACGUGCCAGCAGCCGCGGUAAUACGUAGGUGGCAAGCGUUGUCCGGAUUUAUUGGGCGUAAAGCGAGCGCAGGCGGUUUCUUAAGUCUGAUGUGAAAGCCCCCGGCUCAACCGGGGAGGGUCAUUGGAAACUGGGAGACUUGAGUGCAGAAGAGGAGAGUGGAAUUCCAUGAGUAGCGGUGAAAUGCGUAGAUAUAUGGAGGAACACCAGUGGCGAAGGCGGCUCUCUGGUCUGUAACUGACGAUGAGGCUCGAAAGCGUGGGGAGCAAACAGG
This 429-nucleotide ribosomal RNA is filed under the name Gemmatimonadota bacterium. RNAcentral's name for it is "Gemmatimonadetes bacterium partial 16S ribosomal RNA". It matches the Rfam family "Bacterial small subunit ribosomal RNA", at positions 355 to 776 of the family's 1533-position model. The record is from RNAcentral. Lineage: Bacteria; Pseudomonadati; Gemmatimonadota.